AGAAAACAAUUAGUGAUUCCGCAAGUAGUGGCGAGCGAACGUGGAAAAGCCCAAAUCAUAACAGUUUCGGCUGUUAUGAGGUUGUAGGGUUCCUGGACGUUUAAUAAUCAAGAACUGAAAUUUGGUUGGAAAGCCAAGCCGUAGAACGUGAAAGCCGUGUACAGGUAACUGAUUAUUAAGCAAGGAAUACCCUGAGUAGG
Molecule: ribosomal RNA, 200 nt
Filed under: Azadinium spinosum
Lineage: Eukaryota; Dinophyceae; Gonyaulacales; Amphidomataceae
Description: partial Bacterial large subunit ribosomal RNA
Rfam family: Bacterial large subunit ribosomal RNA
Source: RNAcentral